This is a long non-coding RNA of Penaeus indicus, 1901 nucleotides long. RefSeq lists it as uncharacterized. Lineage: Eukaryota; Metazoa; Arthropoda; Malacostraca; Decapoda; Penaeidae. The transcript has 2 exons. The record is from RefSeq and is a predicted model, not a curated record.
UCGCAGAAAAUUCAUGUAUUUUCACAUUUUUUUCAAGCAAGGGAGAAUGCUACAAAUAUAUUUGUGAUCUUAUAGGUGAUGCUAAAGUUAAGUACUCUGAAUGGUGUAUUGAAAAUGAUAUGGUGAAUGUAACCUGAUUUUUUGUUUGUAGAAAAUUGAUAAUUAUUUGUUUAUUGAUUUCCAUGCUAAUUUAUUUAUAUUUAUGCAAACAAGCAUUGUGUGAUAUUAUAUGAUAGUUUGUAUUUAACUAACUUAUGCAAACCACUAGGACUCAACGUGAUAAUUUAUAACUGAUUUACGAAAACAUGAUACACAGUGCAGGAGCAGCCUUCUGUGUGGUAAGAUAGCAACUUAUUAAUAUAAUGACAAGAACCUCUAGUAUGUUGUCUUUGAAAACUAUACUCACAAAGAAUAUAUAUAACUCCUUGCAAAGAUUUAGUAUUUAUCACUGGUAAUAAGAUAUUGUUAAUAUGUCGUGCAAGUCCUUCAUGUAUUUAAUUAUUUAUAUAUGCAUGAUAUUCAUUGUUUUGAUUUCUGAAUGAUUUGGAGAAGAGAUCAGUGGGAAGCACGAGUCCAGUGAAUGUUUAAUAUUUAUAUAUGUUUGAUAUUAAUGGAAUUUUUUAUUUAUUUUUUAUACAAAUUAAUUUGUCACUUCAGUGUUAAUUGCAUAAAUAUUAAUGAUUUAAGAUUGAAAUCAAUCAUUAAUUAUUAAAUAGAAAAAUGAGUAAAAGAGUAAUAAGAACAUUUUUUGAGAUGAGUUGCUCGGUUGGAUUAAAUAUAUAUCAAGGAAUCUUACUAUAGUGAUCUGGACUAAGGCAAAAGGUCUUCAUAAUGUAUUCAGAUUCUUUACUCUGCCACUAUUACUUACAUUUAUUUGUUCAAAGCUUUGCAGUUGGAGAAUAUGUAUCUCAUUCUUCAAGUUAUGUUUAGUACAUUAUAGUUAAAUGUUUCACAUUCACACCUACAUUUUCUCCCAUGUCUCUUAAUUACUUCCUCGUUCUUUCCCCAAAUAUUUUUUUUAACAUCAUUCUCAUACCUCAUAUCUUACAUUGUGUUUGUCCACUAUUCAUAUACAUAUUCUUAUACCCAUGUCAGUUAAUUUAUUCUAUAGUAGUGUUGACUCAAUAUCUCCUCUCUUCUUUUUGUGUCCCUUAGUACUUCACAUUCUUAAAGUCACUUUUUCUUACUGUAAUCCUUUUUCUUUUACCCUGCAUUAAUUUUACUAGCAUAACUGAAGUUAGAGUGUUGUAUCUAGUGCUUUGGUUUCUAGUAGAGAAAGGGGGUCUACCACAGCUUGCAGAGUACUCCAAGACCUGUGUCUUAUUGAAUGACAGCAUGUUGUACUGUAUUUUCUCAUUUCCUUGGUUUGUUGUGUAGGUAAGGAAUAAGAUAGUAGACAGAACUGAGUUAAGUUUAGUUUCACACUAACAGGAUGGCAUAUAGAGAUUCAGUACUGCUAUUUGUUUAGAUGUCACAUAUCAAAAGUAAGAAUGGUAUAGGAGAGUUAUCAGUGGCUGUCCUUUUUUCCUCUCUCUCUCCCCAUAGUCAAAACUAAAAGAUGAUUUGAGGAAUUUGUGCUUGUUAAAGUUGUGGAAAAAAGGACAGAAUAUGUGGCACAAAUCCUGAAUGAUGUGUUUUCCUGAAUUGUUCUUUUUCCCAGUGAAAUUUGGUUGCAACAAACAUUUUUUUUUUCCAAAGCAAAGUUGUGAACAGUCAUAUUAUUGUAUAGGAAUGUAUGAUUAAAUGACAAUUACCUAUUUGUUCUACCUAAGUAAUAUAUGCUUCAUUGUUACAGCAAUUAGACUGUAGGUUGACAUGAAGUAGGUGGUUUUAAUCACCAAGAAUUUUAUAUUUUUAUGAGUACAAAUGUAAAUAAGAUGAUAAUAAAUAUCUUCUCAUUA